CGCUGAUGAACCACGAGGUGGCCAGUGGCCACGGCUGGGGAUGUUCCGUGGCAGGAAGCCCGCUUGAGGGUCUUGCAUGCGACCAGACUUCAUAAAAGAUCCAGCUGAGAGGUCUGCCUGCCUGGGGGCUGGAAGGUGUCCCCCUCCCCCAAGCCAUCCCCUGCAAGCCCGUCCCUUGAACCAUUCCCAGAAAGGCCUUAGGGCUGCCAGCCUCCCAGCUGCUGAGGCCCAAAUCGAAUCAGGGCAAAGCAGGAGGCACCAGACAGCCAUCUAGCCCUGGCCCCCCGGCUGCCCCAGACAGCGGCCGGCUCCUUCCGGUAAAGGCUCUAAUCCGUUUAGGAAGGAACCAGGGACUCCAGGAGGGAGGGACACAGAGAGGGAAGAGGGGCUGGGCUGUGGGCCAUCCCCAGCUCCUUGUCUCGGUCAUCCGGGCUUGUAGGACCCCCUGUCCCGAGCCACAGCCCAGGUGGGUGCACUUGGGGAGCAUGGAGAGAGACAGCCACUCCCUGCAAAGGGCCUCAGAUGGAGGGAGAGGCAGGUUCCACGUGCCUGGAGCAAGAAUGCAGCAGGAGAAGCGGGGGAAGAUGAGACCCAGGCCCACGUCUGCUAGGAGCACCUCGGAGGAGGAAUUCCCACCUGAAGACCCCACCACAAGGAUGUCGCAAAGCUGAAACCUGAGCUCGGGUCAUACCAACUAAAUCCGGGUUCCCAUCACCCCACAACGCAGCCUUCAAGCCCCUUCCCCCGUGGAAUGAUGACACAGCGGUGGGCUCGGCUCUGCACUGCCCAACCCUGCCCGGCAGUGAACAGGCGAGACCACCCAGCUGGGACCCAGGGAAGAGGCAAAGAGGAGACCCCUCAGCAGGGUCCGUUUCUCCUGCCUGGGCUUGUCCUGCACCCAGGACCAAUGUGGCCCUACAGGACAGCUAGAACCCUCCCCUCCUCUUCUCCCCAAGUGUCCCCAGAGCUUCAGAAAAGUGUGUGCUUAAAGGACGAUUCAAUGAAAUAAUUUUCUAAAAAGAGAAUAAAUACAUACAUACAUAAAGAAGCAGGAGUGUACCAGCCUGGGCAACAUAGCAAGACCCCACCUCUACAAAAAUAAAAAAAAUUAGCCAGGUGUGGUGGUCCACACCUGUGGUCCCAGCUACUCAGGAGGCUGAGGCAGGAGGAUCACUUGAGCCCAGGAGUUCGAGGCUACAG
RNAcentral lists this long non-coding RNA (1200 nucleotides) under Homo sapiens (human). RNAcentral describes it as "HSALNT0341540". The record is from RNAcentral. Lineage: Eukaryota; Metazoa; Chordata; Mammalia; Primates; Hominidae.